GGAAAAUCAGCGAAGAUGGCGGCCUCCACGACUUUCACGACAGCCUGCAUCAUAUUUUGUGUCCUUAUUGGAGCAAAUGUCGAAGCAGAAGAAGAAACAAGACCUCCGCAUAUUGCGAUUGUUGGAGGUGGGAUAGGAGGAACAUCUGCAGCCUACUUCAUGAGAGAGCUCUUUGGGAGUGAUGCUGUGAUAGACCUAUAUGAAAAGAACACCAUUGGUGGUCGCCUGGCAACUGUAAACAUCAACAGCAGAGAAUAUGAGUCGGGAGGAUCUAUCAUACAUCCAGAAAAUCUGUACAUGGUCAAUUUUACAAAAAUACUAGGUUUGGAGAAACGAGAAAAAAAUUCUGGUGCAAUCAUGGGCAUAUUUGAUGGUGAGGAAUUGAGACUAACGACUAGUCCUUACAGUGUGGUCACCCUGGCCAAAAUGUUCUGGCAUUAUGGUAUGGACAUCUACAACCUUCAAACGUGGGUCAGCAACAUUCUGGUCAAAUUCAAAAGGAUCUACACAACACAGGAUGCUGGCUAUGCGUAUACAAAUGUUCCAGAACUAUUAGCUUCAAUGGAUCCAUCCUUUGCUAACUACUUAAAAAAAUCUGUGAUAAAGGUUAUGCGUGAGGAAGGAUUUCAUGACGCCCUGAUCUAUGAGCUUGUGUUGGGGGCCAUGCGGACAAACUAUGGACAAGGGGUAGAAAUACCAGGUUUUGUGGGAGCGAUUUCUAUGGCUGGAGUGGAUUCUGGUCUUUGGGCAGUCAAAGGAGGCAAUAAGAUGGUUCCAGAAAAUAUUGUGAAACAUUCAAAAAUUAAUGUUAUUGCUGCAGAGGUAAAAAUGGUAGAGUUUCUGGAAGAUGAACCAUUUCUGUAUGAAGUUUACUACAGGAAAGACAACAACAAUGAAGCCAAGAGCAAACGAUAUGACAUGGUUGUCAUAGCAACUCCUCUUCACGAUGAAAUUUCAGACAUUAAGUUUGAGGGUUUUCAACAAGAUAUUCACAACUUUCCCCAGAAAUAUCACAAGACGGUGGCAACGUUUGUGCACGGUAGAGUGAACAGCUCGUAUUUUGGCGUGGAACAGCCCGCCGACAUGCCAAAUGAAGUGUUUACAUGCAAUAUGGAUUUAUUACUGAAUUCAUUUGGUCAACAUCUUCCUGUAGACUACAAUAGUGCAUCAGAUACAGUUCCACCCAUAGACAGCAACAUUGUAGGUAAACUUUUCUCAAACAGAGAACUGACACAGGAAGAGGUCAAACUAUAUUUUGAAUCCAUAGAAGAGGUUCAUACAGUAUCGUGGAUGGCAUAUCCAGAAUACAAUUUUAAGAAAAUUGACGAUCUACCUCCCUUCCUUUUGAACGAGCGAUUGUACUAUGUCAAUGCAAUAGAAUUAGCAGCUUCAGCCAUGGAAAUGGAAGCUAUAGCAGGACGUAACAUUGCCCUGUUAGCUUACAAUCAUUGGCAUGACAAUCUAGAUAAGAUUGAUGAAAAGUAUGUAGAUCCAGCUCAUGCGACUAGUCCAGAAACUGGUGAUCUGUAAUAUAUCAAAACAGGGGUGAAGUAAGUUAUUGACCAGGUAUAGUGUGGUAACUGCAAUUUACCAGGUAAAGUGUAGUAACUGCAGUUUAUCAGAUAAAAAAUGUUGACUGUAAGUUAUCUAGUACAAUAUGGUAACUAAUUUAUCAGAUUAACCCUUUCACCGCUGUAGACCAUAAUGGGCUCAUCCACAUCAUUGCAUGGUAGAGUCUACUAAUUAUAAAGUUACAUAUGGUCGAAAGUAUGGUAAAUGUAAAUUACCAGGUAAAAUGCAUGUGACAAAUUGUAAUUUACAAAGUAAAGCAUUAUUACUGUGAUUUACUGGGUAAAUACUUAUGACUUGAACUUAAUUAAUAAGGAAAUGAGAAGUUAAAUUAACAAGUAAGACACUGACAAGCUGUUACCAGGCCAAGUAUGACAAACAGUAAAUAAAGGGUAAAGAAUCACUCAUUGUAAGUAAGACCAUGAAAACAUUUGUGAAAUCGGGUAUAACGAAAUGUAAUUAAGCAGGUAUCAUACUUUUAACUUGUGAUUUAUUACUGUAGAGAUAGCACCUGUUAUUUACCAGGCCUGUAAUUGUCUACUGGAGUAGAUACAGUACUGGAAAAAUAAAGAUAUAUAAUUAUAAAGAUACAUAUAAAGAUGGUCUUGACCAAGUUACAUUAUUAGUGUAGUGUAUAUGUGUAUUGUAAUAUACACUUUUAUGGUUGUAUUGUGAUAAGUAAGAUCUAAAUUUGGAAAAAAAAGGUUGAUAACUAAGUUAAACUUGUCCAUUUUUUAUAAGGGAGGUUAGGGGUAUGAAAAGUAUAGAAAAUUGUGAUAAUUGUUUUCAAUGUUCUGGUUUUCAGAUUUAUAUAUUUAUCAAUGUAAGGAUAGUUGCAUAGUUUUCAGGGAAUCACUUUUAGUCUGUUUCCUUUAAUAAAUUUGUAUUCUUUAAUAUGGAACCACCUCAAUCUCAGAUACAUCCCCACCCAACUGUCACAUUAAUAUCCCGGAUUCAUUUAUAAGUCACAAGUCAAUUAUGUUUUAUAUAGGAUGUUUUAUCAUAUAUCCUCUAGCUGCUUUUGACAUAAUUUAUCUAAACCAGGAUGGAAAUUUUGCUAAAUAACUUAUAAUUAGCAGGUAUUUGCUAUAAAAGCUAGUCUAAGCAUUUGUUAAAUAGCGUGGUGAGCUAUCGGUCAAAAUACUCAUAGAUUAAUAACUGCGUAGGACAAACAAAUUAUUGAAGACAUUGUCGUUCAGUAUUUUGUGUUUGUGAGUUAUGUAAAUAUAAAUAUUGCAAUAGGUACAAUCAUUCCUGGUAGUUAAAAUCACACACAAACAUUAUAUAUGUAUGUAGCUACACUCAUAAAGAAAUGAUGCCACAAUUAAAACAAAUAAGGCAUUGGGACUCAUUUGAUCUUCUUUCAUUGGUUGGAACAUUGAUAAUAAUAAUUUGAGGUUCUUAUAUACUGCUUUAUCACAACCUAGUUUGUAGCU
This 3005-nucleotide unclassified non-coding RNA is filed under the name Mizuhopecten yessoensis (Yesso scallop). Its description in RNAcentral is "prenylcysteine oxidase 1-like, transcript variant X1". Lineage: Eukaryota; Metazoa; Mollusca; Bivalvia; Pectinida; Pectinidae. The record is from RNAcentral.